AUGUUGUUGGUGACUUUAUUUGUUGAAAAUGCUUAAGUGCCGGUGACUUUAAAAGUGAACUUUUGUUUAGAAGGUGAUGUUGUUGGUUACUUUAUUUGUUGAAAAUGCUUAUGUGCCGGUGACUUUAAUAGUAAAUUAGUGUUUAGAAAAUGAUGUUGUUGGUGACUUUACUUGUUGAAAAUGCUUAAGUUUUGGUGACUUUAAUAGUGAAUUAGUUUCGUUGGUGCCUUUGUUAGUUGAAAAAGCUU
RNAcentral lists this long non-coding RNA (248 nucleotides) under Capsicum annuum. Its description in RNAcentral is "long non-coding RNA (CANN_LNC014790)". The record is from RNAcentral. Lineage: Eukaryota; Viridiplantae; Streptophyta; Magnoliopsida; Solanales; Solanaceae.